AGCAGCCGCGGUAAUUCCAGCUCCAAUAGCGUAUAUUAAAGUUGUUGCAGUUAAAAAGCUCGUAGUUGAAUUUCGAGACCGGUCUACUGGUCGUGCUUUUGUACGUACUGGUAUAAUCGGUUUCUCUCUUCUGACGAACUAUAAUGCCAUUAAUUUGGUGUUUUAGGGAAUCAGGACUGUUACUUUGAAAAAAUUAGAGUGUUUAAAGCAGGCUCACGCUUGAAUACAUUAGCAUGGAAUAACGAAAUAGGACGUUUGAUUCUAUUUUGUUGGUUUCUAGGAUCGACGUAAUGAUUAAUAGGGAUAGUUGGGGGCAUUAGUAUUCAAUUGUCAGAGGUGAAAUUCUUGGAUUUAUUGAAGACUAACUACUGCGAAAGCAUUUGCCAAGGAUGUUUUCAUUAAUCAAGAACGAAAGUUAGGGGAUCGAAGACGAUCAGAUACCGUCGUAGUCUUAACCAUAAAUUAUGCCGACUAGGGAUCGGAUGAUGUAAAUUAAUGACUCA
Molecule: ribosomal RNA, 503 nt
Filed under: uncultured Glomeraceae
Lineage: Eukaryota; Fungi; Glomeromycota; Glomeromycetes; Glomerales; Glomeraceae
Description: SSU rRNA
Rfam family: Eukaryotic small subunit ribosomal RNA
Source: RNAcentral